Molecule: long non-coding RNA, 419 nt
Organism: Humulus lupulus (European hop)
Lineage: Eukaryota; Viridiplantae; Streptophyta; Magnoliopsida; Rosales; Cannabaceae
Exons: 3
Source: RefSeq, a predicted model, not a curated record
CUUGUUUUUGCAGGAGUUUCUCAAGGAGAACUCUAAAGAAUUAGAGAAGAAAUGCCUUCUGCUAUAACGAAUGACUUUGGAUUUUGAUUGAUUUAUUGAGUUAUGCAACAUCACGGGGGUGAUGCAAGGGCAGAUCCUCCUCUAGAUCCAAUGCGUAUACAGGUUGACUGUGAGAGAGUGACUUCAACAAAAAGGCGCGACAUCAACAAAGGGUUUUUCAACCCCGAGACGCUAGAGUUGCAUUAGGUAGACCACUACCACUAGAGUGGGAUGUUCAGGGGAAGACUUAUAAGGAAAUUAGUGACUAUUCCCAACAUUUGUCUCGGGAGAUCGACAUUCUCAUUCGACAAUAUAUCGAUCCCGACUACGACCGAUGGGAUAAAGUACAAAAUGAAGUUAGGAAUCAGAUACUUCCUCGU